GAGUUUGAUCCUGGCUCAGGAUGAACGCUGGCGGCGUGCUUAACACAUGCAAGUCGAACGAAGCGCUUUAACUUGAUUCUUCGGAUGAAGGUUUUUGUGACUGAGUGGCGGAGGGGUGAGUAACGCGUGGGUAACCUGCCUCAUACAGGGGGAUAACAGUUAGAAAUGACUGCUAAUACCGCAUAAGACCACAGGGUCGCAUGACCUGGUGGGAAAAACUCCGGUGGUAUGAGAUGGACCCGCGUCUGAUUAGGUAGUUGGUGGGGUAACGGCCUACCAAGCCGACGAUCAGUAGCCGACCUGAGAGGGUGACCGGCCACAUUGGGACUGAGACACGGCCCAAACUCCUACGGGAGGCAGCAGUGGGGAAUAUUGCACAAUGGGGGAAACCCUGAUGCAGCGACGCCGCGUGUGCGAAGAAGUAUUUCGGUAUGUAAAGCUCUAUCAGCAGGGAAGAAAAUGACGGUACCUGACUAAGAAGCACCGGCUAAAUACGUGCCAGCAGCCGCGGUAAUACGUAUGGUGCGAGCGUUAUCCGGAUUUACUGGGUGUAAAGGGAGCGUAAACGGCUGUGUAAGUCUGAAGUGAAAGCCCGGGGCUCAACCCCGGGACUGCUUUGGAAACUAUGCAGCUAGAGUGUCGGAGAGGUAAGUGGAAUUCCCAGUGUAGCGGUGAAAUGCGUAGAUAUUGGGAGGAACACCAGUGGCGAAGGCGGCUUACUGGACGAUGACUGACGUUGAGGCUCGAAAGCGUGGGGAGCANACAGGAUUAGAUACCCUGGUAGUCCACGCCGUAAACGAUGACUACUAGGUGUCGGGGAGCAAAGCUCUUCGGUGCCGCAGCAAACGCAAUAAGUAGUCCACCUGGGGAGUACGUUCGCAAGAAUGAAACUCAAAGGAAUUGACGGGGACCCGCACAAGCGGUGGAGCAUGUGGUUUAAUUCGAAGCAACGCGAAGAACCUUACCUGCUCUUGACAUCCCGGUGACCGGCAUGUAAUGAUGCCUUUUCUUCGGAACACCGGUGACAGGUGGUGCAUGGUUGUCGUCAGCUCGUGUCGUGAGAUGUUGGGUUAAGUCCCGCAACGAGCGCAACCCUUAUCUUCAGUAGCCAGCAUUUCGGAUGGGCACUCUGGAGAGACUGCCAGGGAUAACCUGGAGGAAGGUGGGAUGACGUCAAAUCAUCAUGCCCCUUAUGAGCAGGGCUACACACGUGCUACAAUGGCGUGAACAAAGGGAAGCAAACCUGCGAGGGUAAGCAAAUCUCAAAAAUAACGUCUCAGUUCGGAUUGUAGUCUGCAACUCGACUACAUGAAGCUGGAACCGCUAGUAAUCGCGAAUCAGCAUGUCGCGGUGAAUACGUUCCCGGGUCUUGUACACACCGCCCGUC
This 1387-nucleotide ribosomal RNA is filed under the name uncultured bacterium. RNAcentral's name for it is "bacterial SSU rRNA". It matches the Rfam family "Bacterial small subunit ribosomal RNA". The record is from RNAcentral.